RNAcentral lists this ribosomal RNA (301 nucleotides) under uncultured bacterium. RNAcentral's name for it is "partial 16S ribosomal RNA". It matches the Rfam family "Bacterial small subunit ribosomal RNA", at positions 509 to 807 of the family's 1533-position model. The record is from RNAcentral.
CAGUCGCCGCGGUAAUACGAAGGGGGCUAGCGUUGUUCUGAAUUACUGGGCGUAAAGCGCGUGUAGGCGGGUCUUUAAGUCAGAGGUGAAAUGCCAAGGCUCAACCUUGGAACUGCCUUUGAUACUGGAGAUCUUGAGUCCGGGAGAGGUGAGUGGAAUUGCGAGUGUAGAGGUGAAAUUCGUAGAUAUUCGCAAGAACACCAGUGGCGAAGGCGGCUCACUGGCCCGGAACUGACGCUGAGACGCGAAAGCGUGGGGAGCAAACAGGAUUAGAUACCCCGGUAGUCCCUGUCUCUUAUAC